Molecule: long non-coding RNA, 1516 nt
Organism: Bos indicus x Bos taurus (hybrid cattle)
Lineage: Eukaryota; Metazoa; Chordata; Mammalia; Artiodactyla; Bovidae
Source: Ensembl
UACUCUUGUGCACAUUAACUUGGGCACAGGGCCAUGUUGAACAGCUAACACUGAGGAUGAAGCUCUGAGAUAGAUGUUCUAGAAAUCCUGCUGUCCCAGCCCUGCCACUGGCUAUGUGAACUGAUAGUAAGCAGUUUUGGUUUCGGUUUCCACCUCUAAAUAGUUGAUUUCCAAAAACCUCUUCUCAUUUUAACAUCCUUUGGUUAUCUGUUGACAACUUUUUAAAAAGCUAGGGGAGGAAAAAAAAAAAAAAAAGCUAGGGGAGGGUCAUGGCAUUCUUGAAAAAAUUUCAGCUGAAUUAAACAAGUAAAUAAUUAGAUGGUAGAAAAAUAAGAAGGAAGUAAAACUGAACGUUUACCAAAUUCUGGGUUGAUAGUAACUUCCGAAAACUAAAAAGCAUUUAGAAAGUGCAAAGCCUGUUACGAAGAAAGUAAAACUGACCCACAAUAUUUUGGUGUAUUUCCUUCUGAGCAUUCCUUUUCCAGAUCGUACUAUACACAGAAUUUAAUAUUACGAUUUCCUUAGGUAAACAGUUUUGCUAAAUAUUUAGGUAAAAUUUGUUGUAAUUUUCAUUUAGAUGCAUAACAUCCAACCAUAUGAAUAUACUAUAUUUUACUUAACAAUUCCCUUAUGUUUUGAGAUCUGAGAAGUUGUAUUAGUGUCAUGAAAUUAUGGGUGAUUUUGUUUCUAUUUUGUUUUAAUUUUUUAAUUUGCUCUAGUGUGAUUUGACAUUAUUCUUAUCAUCAAAAGUAACUUUAAGGCUUCCUAGGUGGUACUAGCAGUAAAGAACCCACCUACCAAUGCAGGAGACAUAAGAGACACAGGCUCUAUCCCCAGGUCAGGAAGAUCCCCUGGAGGAGGGCGUGGCAACCCAUUCCAGUAUUCUUGCCUGGAGAAUCCCAUGGACAGAGGAGCCCAGCAGGCUACAGCCCAUGAGGUCUCAGGGUCCAACAUGACUGAAGCGACUUGGCCCACAGGUGCUCCUCCUAGUUCCAGGAAGGUAACUCAGAAAUCAUCACCCUUUGCCUUUUCCCACAGCACCGUUAAACAGGGACGAGCAAGAAAUGGCCAAGUUUGACUGGAGCCAGCCCAGGACAGAGAAAUGUUCCUAUUGGCCACUCAUCCCUGACAGCGCGGUCAGUGUCCCAUGAAUGUCACGUGGGCCUCUCUCCAGACCUGGGGAUGAGCUGAGCUGCUGACAAGUGAAAAUGUUAUGGAACAAAAUGGCCGACACACUGAGAUUUAUCUGUUGACACACGGACAGGGAACACCCUGGGGAGGCCGAAGAAAGAGUUCUGUCUGCUGAACUGUGCCCACAGCCGCCUUCAGCCCAACAGCACCAGCUGCCAACACGCUGUGUCUCUGAUUCCUUUUCCCUUUCUGCAGUUUUUGCAACCCCAUAAUUGCCUUGGUAGAACUUAGAUGUUCUGACUGAAAUGGUCUUCCCAAUAAUUCUAGUCUCUUUUAGUGAGAAAUACUAUACAAAAAUUUGGGCUUCCCUGGUGGCUCAGUUGGU